Molecule: non-coding RNA, 80 nt
Filed under: Streptomyces malaysiense
Lineage: Bacteria; Bacillati; Actinomycetota; Actinomycetes; Kitasatosporales; Streptomycetaceae
Description: ZTP sequence
Rfam family: ZMP/ZTP riboswitch aptamer (pfl RNA motif)
About the family: Previously known as pfl RNA. ZMP is also known as AICAR.
Source: Rfam by way of RNAcentral
UGUCCGGGCCGUGACUGGCGCUGAGGUGGAGUACCACCGGGGAGCGGUCCGUGUGGUUGCCGCGCGCCUGGGCGAGAGAC